GACGAACGCUGGCGGCGUGCUUAACACAUGCAAGUCGAACGGAAAGGCCCUGCUUUUGUGGGGUGCUCGAGUGGCGAACGGGUGAGUAACACGUGAGUAACCUGCCCUUGACUUUGGGAUAACUUCAGGAAACUGGGGCUAAUACCGGAUAGGAGCUCCUGCUGCAUGGUGGGGGUUGGAAAGUUUCGGCGGUUGGGGAUGGACUCGCGGCUUAUCAGCUUGUUGGUGGGGUAGUGGCUUACCAAGUCUUUGACGGGUAGCCGGCCUGAGAGGGUGACCGGCCACAUUGGGACUGAGAUACGGCCCAGACUCCUACGGGAGGCAGCAGUGGGGAAUAUUGCACAAUGGGCGGAAGCCUGAUGCAGCAACGCCGCGUGCGGAAUGACGGCCUUCGGGUUGUAAACCGCUUUCGCCUGUGACGAAGCGUGAGUGACGGUAAUGGGUAAAGAAGCACCGGCUAACUACGUG
This 468-nucleotide ribosomal RNA is filed under the name uncultured bacterium. RNAcentral's name for it is "partial 16S ribosomal RNA". It matches the Rfam family "Bacterial small subunit ribosomal RNA", at positions 28 to 507 of the family's 1533-position model. The record is from RNAcentral.